UGCAUCCCAGGCACUGACAGCAUACUGCUCCAACACUAUCCACACCACUGUCAGUCCAGCAUCCUUCACUGCAUCUCGCGCACUGCCAGCACCCUCCCACACUCUCACUGCAUCUCGCGCACUGCCAGCACCCUCCCACACUCUCACUGCAUCUCUCGCACUGCCAGCACCCUCCCACUCUCUCACUGCAUCUCGCGCACUGCCGGCACCCUCCCACACUCUCACUGCAUCUCGCGCACUGCCAGCACCCUCCCACACUCUCACUGCAUCUCGCGCACUGCUAGCACCCUCCUCCCACUCUCUCACUGCAUCUUUCGCACUGCCAGCACCCUCCCACACUCUCACUGCAUCUCGCGCACUGCCAGCACACUCUCACGGCAUCUCGCGCACUACCAGCACCUUCCUCCAUUCUCACUGCAGAAUUAUCAACAAUCACUGCAUGUCACUAUCUCACUAUUGACAUCCAGUGCUGAACCAGAAUCCCAAUCAGCCACCAGCUUCCCUCCAGUGCCAACAUGUUUCUUUACUCUCCACAUCCCAAGACAUGAUAAACAUCUUCUAACCACUGCCUGAAUCUUAGAGCGCUCCCAGCACUCACACUAUGGCUUUCCUUAUAUCCAUAGCAUCCCUCCCUACUGCCACUCACAGCUUCCCACACUGCUGUCACAAUGUAUCAGGGCUACUUUUCAUUUCCCAGCCUCUAUCUAGGGGGCUCCAAUGCCAUCAUCUUCCAUUCUUAUACCUGAACCGUUCCCAUCUCAAUGCACUUCACUCUCUCUACUCUGGUACCCAACUACAUCCUCAGCAUCACUGCAUCCCAAGCUCCCAGCGCACUCUCAGCAUCUCUAACACUUCUAUGUCAACAUUGACAGUCCCAAAAUAGCCUGUACUCCUGGAUUCCCAGCGCUCAGCCAGCAUAUUACUGCAACUCCUUAACUCACAGCUUCCAGAAAUCCUGCCGACACCUCAACAUAACCCAGGAAACCCAGAAUCCUGCUACACAAUCCCAAGAUCAUCGAGCAUUCUCUCAAGAGAAUCUUCAGCUUCCUUCUCAGAACAUCUUCACAACAUCUUCCAACUCGAGGACUCAGCAAUGCAGUCAUGUGUGUCUUAGCUUCUCUCUUCGCUUAUCUCUUCUAUAUAGUCCAUUAUAUAAUGGUCCAUUGCUCAAUCCAGAAGACAAAUUUGAACUUGAACAAAAUUCGGCUUCCAAAAUUGUUCAAAUCACUUUUUGUGGAUCUAGAUGAUUUUCUUUACGUGGUUAAGCCAUUGCCACGACUGCAAACCAAACCCUGCCAGGUAUGUGCAGCUUCCUAUUUAAUUGUCCAAUUCAGAAAAAAAAUAAAAAUAAUAUUAAAGGAGAAUAUGGUUAGUGGCUGGUUAGAGAGGCUGGAUCCAAAACAUACAGCCACCUGCCAGAUAUUUCCAAGUUUAAAGGAUGUUCUGAUGGGUUUUACUGACUGCUUGAAAGGUUUUUUUCUCUCCCUGUCUUGGAGUUAAAUGGGAUCUCAUAAGUUAUCCCUGUGCCAUUGAGAUAGGGGUAACUAAUAGGCGUGUAUAAAAAGAAAAAUAGAUCAUGCAGUGCCUACACAAAAGAUAUCAAUGCACUCUGGACAAUGAAUGGAGAAUUUCUCUUAGGAUUUCUGCACACGUCUACAACAGCUUGGACUGUUCUGAGAACCACAAUUGAAUCCCAGACACCAUCUUUUGAGAGCUGUGUGAAAAUAAGUAUAAGACAUCAAAUUAUUACAACUAAGUUAAGUGAGGGCUUCUCUCCCUCCCCCUCACCAGUCCUAUUCCUCCUAAUUCAGCCACCCUCCCAUCACCCCCCUCCCCCCCAUUUUCCCUUCCUUACACACUCAUGCUAUAUAUCUCAUCCUAUGUAUUGCUGGGGGAUCACACAAGUCUACUCAACUCAAGUUUUUUUCCAAAGGAUUUAGACCAAAAUGAAAAUCCAACCAUUAUAUAUGAAGAUAAUCUACAGGAGUUCCACUGCAGGACGUAUAAUGGGAGCAAAGGAGGAUAUACCAAGCCAACAAUUCGACAAGAACAAGUACAUCACCACAUAAACAGAAUAUCGUGUGCACGAGGUGCCAGUGACAACAGGCACAGGUAAGCUUGAUGUGCAAAUAUAAGAUGUUCCAUCACAGAAUCUCCGUGGGAUACAUUAACAUCGCUGCCAACAAUAUAACUGCAGAUGAGCUUUAUUGAAUGUAAUCCAACCUGUCAAAUAGCCAUCCAAGAUUAAAACAAAAGGAUGUGAAGAGCUAGUGAAAUACAUCAGAAUGAACAUACAUGGUACCGCAACAAUUUUAAGUGAAAAAAUCCAUCCCACAAAACCAGGAUUGCUAAACGUGAAAUUACUAAAGGUGAUUAUGGAGAAGAAUUUUAAGAGUCACACUGGGUCACAAGAGAAGAGACAACAUGUAUAAUAUUAAUUAUAUAACAUAAUUAUAUGACACAUUAUACACCAUAGAUAACAAUGUAUUCUACAAGAGAACUGAGGACAUAUUGGAGUGUUCUAGGGAGAGGUACGAUCUAUAGAGUAUAAGAAUGUGCUAUAAAUAUUGUGCAUUAGGAGUUAGUGACCAAUUUCAGGUGCUAUAGAAGUUUUGGAUUUGUAUAAAGGAAACACAAAGGAGAACGUGCAAUUGGCAAUAGAAAGAGUUACAUAAAUGGAUGGACAGUGUCAGACGGUCAGACCUAUGACUACUAUACUGAAGAUUUAGUGCACAGAAGAUGUGACUGCUCUCUGUGCUGACUUUUCUCUGUCCUGUUAAUCCAACCUGGACCUCCCACCACGGGAGCGCUCAUCCAUAUGACAUCCUACUGAAAGAAGCUGCAGCUUACAAGUGAUUUCGGGAUUUCAAGGGGUCUGAGCCAUGGAUAAAACUCCAGUCUUGCUCUCUACAAGGAUUAAAGGUUUUACUCUGCUAUUAACUCAUUUUCUGCCUGAAAUUGAAAGCAGGCAUUCCUGAACCCCUAGGCAGCUACAUGUGAAGUAGGGUCUGGUAAAUAAAGUGUCAAUGUUAGGACAUAAGCAAAUGCCAUUAAUGCUACAAGACAAGUUCUGAUUCCAAGUGCCAUUUUAAUCUAUCCCAUACAGUAAGAGUGAUCAAAAGGUACAUCUCCAGAGGAGGGACAGUCCAUAUUUUGGAUCCAAAUCCCUCUGUCCAUCUUUUAUAUCGUAAUGCUCCUCUCUUCUAGAAGCUCACAUUGUUGGUGUGUCUGAGUGUAUAAAAGAGCUCUACAGAAUUAAUACUCAUAGCAAUGUGUCUUUAAACUACAAUAAAUGAGUUUAGAAAUCAGCCUGUGUAAAUAAGAUACAUUGUUCUUGUGCUAAAUGAUAUUUUCAUUUCAUAAACUUUUAAAGGUAAGUCACCAAAAAUGGCUCAGAACAUAACAUCCCCUGGCCACACCCCCACUGACACUCCUAAAAUUAAAGUGUCCCUUUUUUGUCCACUUAAAAUCCUGGUAGGUGUGCCCGAUGUUGUAGAACUACAGCUCCCAUAAUGCUUUGCCAGCUUCAAAGCAACAUAGUAGUAGUUAUUCUACAAAAAGCUGGGGAUCCACCUUUUGGCCACCCUAACAUACAGCAUUUUUAAUGGUACUUGUAAAUGCGUAGCACAACAUAUUGCGCAUUAAGCUUUUUAGAAGAAAUAGCACAAUUAAAAUGCAAUGGGGAUAUUGACCUUUACCAUGCAUGAGAUGGUAAAACAAGGAGUCGAACAACUAAGUGCUUUCAUAUGAAAGGAAAAUUCAUGAAGCACUUGGAAGCAGCCAUAAACUCACUAGUAGUUAGUACAUAAAAACUCCAAUUAACCAGCUAAUUAUGUGCUGGAAAGCAUCUGGUCUAAUGACACAAGAAGCCGUAAAGACGAGGAGUCCAUAAAAGAGCGAGAAGUUCUUAGCCAUAACGUGGAACCAUCUUCAAACAGUUUGUCAAUUUAAUUGGCUAAUCUAAUUAACUAGGCAGAACAAAAGUCUUUCUUUGUUUCCUCCAAAUAUACACAUUCUGGUUUACCAAACUCAAUGAGAGAUACAAACACAUAAGAGAGAGAAGGGUAAUUGAUUAAAUAGACUGUUUAUUUUACACCCUCAGGUAUGAGGCCAAAGAUAGCAGUGCCAGAUCAUACUUGACAAGCACAGGCUUAACUGGAGGUACGAAGAAGAGAUCACCAUGUUUAAAGAACACUGGUGGGAACAUUUAUAAGGACUAUUUUGAUUGCAGAAUAAGAGCAGUUUUGUGGAUUUUUUUUUAAAGUUGAGCAAUUACAAUGGAAUCCAAUGGAAUGGUCUUACUGAUUACUCUCUUUUAGAAUUAUGCUCCCGAAUCGGACAUUAGCCCUUACAAAUAAUCCCCAUUGUGUAACAAGCUAUCUAAAACAAAGUAGGGGAACAUUUCACAAAUUGCCUUUUCUUAACCAAUACAAAGGUGAUAGAUAUUUCAACAAACCAUCAGCCUGAAUAAGGUAUGCACUUACUAGGACAAACAUAGGCAGCAGUUUUUGAACUGCAAUCUUUAAAUUCUAAGCUAGAAUGGUGGGAGUCACAGGAAGACAAACACUCGGUUUCCACACAUCUUGUUUCAGUUCAUUCAUUUAAUACACAUAAUUCAUAAUCAAAGACCUCCUUUUAAAAUCACUUAGAAAUGUAAAUAAACUUGCCUUCUCUGUUACAUUGCAAGAUCUAUGCAUUCUAGAUUUUUCCAUCGAAAAAACGGACAACACUUCCCUUUUUUUUGGUAUAGUUUAGGUUACUGUUCUGUCAAAACAAUAGUUAAGUUCUUGAGACGAUUCCACAUCACACCUUAACUCAUAGUCAUGACAGCCUCUAACCAGUUGGCGCAUUAAUAAGCAUUAACCAUAGAAGAAGACGUGAAGGUCAUAUAAUUGUAGAAUUAUUUGAAGAACUGUACUAUUCACCCGUGGGUGACACAAUAGCAACAUUAUUGUCAUUGAGUAUAUCAUAUGCCAUUUAGGAAAAAGAAUACUUCUGUUAAAAAUAUAAUUGUCUACCAAAUUCUUUGUUCACACAUCAAAGUGCAAUUAUUUUGCAUAAUGAAUAGCUCAUUAAUGGAAGCUGUGGGAAUUUAAAGAAACUGGGGCACUAAACUCUACCCCAAGAAUUUAACUCUGCCCCAUG
Molecule: long non-coding RNA, 5145 nt
Organism: Pelobates fuscus (common spadefoot toad)
Lineage: Eukaryota; Metazoa; Chordata; Amphibia; Anura; Pelobatidae
Exons: 5
Source: RefSeq, a predicted model, not a curated record